Molecule: ribosomal RNA, 253 nt
Filed under: uncultured bacterium
Lineage: Bacteria
Description: partial 16S ribosomal RNA
Rfam family: Bacterial small subunit ribosomal RNA
Source: RNAcentral
UACGUAGAGGGCAAGCGUUAUCCGGAUUUACUGGGUGUAAAGGGAGCGUAGACGGUGAUGCAAGUCAGAAGUGAAAGCCCGGGGCUCAACUCCGGGACUGCUUUUGAAACUGUGUGACUGGAGUGCAGGAGAGGUAAGCGGAAUUCCUGGUGUAGCGGUGAAAUGCGUAGAUAUCAGGAGGAACACCAGUGGCGAAGGCGGCUUACUGGACUGUGACUGACGUUGAGGCUCGAAAGCGUGGGGAGCAAACAGG